GACGAACGCUGGCGGCGUGCUUAACACAUGCAAGUCGAACGGAGUGGCGAACGGGUGAGUAACACGUGAGUGAUCUGCCUUGCACUACGGAAUAAGCUUGGGAAACUGGGUCUAAUACCGGAUAGUGCAAGAUGAGCUCGCGGCCUAUCAGCUUGUUGGUGGUGUAAUGGCCUACCAAGGCGUCGGCGGGUAGCCGGCCUGAGAGGGUGUACGGCCACAUUGGGACUGAGAUACGGCCCAGACUCAGACUGGAGGCAGUAGUGGGGAAUAUUGCACAAUGGGCGGAAGCCUGAUGCAGCGACGCCGCGUGGGGGAUGAAGGCCUUCGGGUUGUAAUCUCCUUUCGACAGGGACGCGGUACCUGUAUAAGAAGCACCGGCUGACUACGUGCCAGGAGCCGCGGUAAUUC
This 408-nucleotide ribosomal RNA is filed under the name uncultured bacterium. RNAcentral describes it as "partial 16S ribosomal RNA". It matches the Rfam family "Bacterial small subunit ribosomal RNA", at positions 28 to 526 of the family's 1533-position model. The record is from RNAcentral.